UCAAAUGCGAUGAAGAGAAGAGUAGGUAGAUCUUAAUCUUUUACAGAGAGCUCCGUCCGCUGAAAAGGAGCAAAGAGGGAUGUAUCGAAAAAAGACUCAGAGCAGCACGCCGGAACCUUCGGAGGGGAUGGUGUGACAGGAGCUCCUGUUACAGAGCUAGAGUAUACGCAGGGCAGCGUUAGGCCCUUAGCCGUACUCGAAGAGGCUGAUAUGGUGACAUAUCGGCGAAUCUGGGGUGGUACCACGAGGAUCCGAAUCUCGUCCCUGAG
RNAcentral lists this non-coding RNA (269 nucleotides) under Paenibacillus mucilaginosus. RNAcentral describes it as "T-box sequence". It matches the Rfam family "T-box leader". From Rfam's summary of the family: Uncharged tRNA acts as the effector for transcription antitermination of genes in the T-box leader family. T-boxes are found upstream of many aminoacyl-tRNA synthetase genes and some amino acid biosynthetic genes usually in Gram-positive bacteria. The anticodon of a specific tRNA base pairs to a specifier sequence within the T-box motif, and the NCCA acceptor tail of the tRNA base pairs to a conserved bulge in the T-box antiterminator hairpin. Lineage: Bacteria; Bacillati; Bacillota; Bacilli; Caryophanales; Paenibacillaceae. The record is from RNAcentral.